Molecule: ribosomal RNA, 558 nt
Filed under: uncultured Glomus
Lineage: Eukaryota; Fungi; Glomeromycota; Glomeromycetes; Glomerales; Glomeraceae
Description: eukaryotic LSU rRNA
Rfam family: 5.8S ribosomal RNA (bases 155-308)
Source: RNAcentral
GGAAGUAAAAGUCGUAACAAGGUUUCCGUAGGUGAACCUGCGGAAGGAUCAUUACUGAUUUAGCGAACCGAGCAUUAGCGAGGUUUUGCGAUCAAAUUAUAUUUAAAACCCACUCUUUAAUGUAUAAAAUUUGUAUUAUGAUAAAUUAAAAGAUCACUUUCAACAACGGAUCUCUUGGCUCUCGCAUCGAUGAAGAACGUAGCGAAGUGCGAUAAGUAAUGUGAAUUGCAGUAUUCCGUGAAUCAUCGAAUCUUUGAACGCAUAUUGCACUUUCUGGUAUUCCGGAAAGUAUGCCUGUUUGAGGGUCAGUUAAAUAAAAAUCGGUGUUGUUGCUGCCUUUCGUGGUGACGCGUCGGAAUUGAGUUGUCUUACCCUUCGGUUAAGUGACUUAAAAUUUUGUAUGAUUUUUGAACGUAUUUAAAUUUAUUUGUACGUUUGAGAUAUCGAAUAUUUAUUAGGUUCGGUCAUUCUAACGACUCGCGCCUAUAAUUUUCCAUUAAAUGACCUCAAAUCAGGUAAGAAUACCCGCUGAACUUAAGCAUAUCAAUAAGCGGAGGA